RNAcentral lists this unclassified non-coding RNA (320 nucleotides) under Hevea brasiliensis (rubber tree). The record is from RNAcentral. Lineage: Eukaryota; Viridiplantae; Streptophyta; Magnoliopsida; Malpighiales; Euphorbiaceae.
AGGAAGGACGCUCACCUUUGCAAUCCAUGAAAAGAUCUCAUAAUUUGCUCCACCUUGCACAACAGAAGCACUUAGCACCGCAGGAAGAGAAUAUUAGUCAGAAGGCUAGUUAGUGUUGCUGAUGAUCACAUCAAAACUCUCCAACAGAUAUCUCCAUCAUCAUCCAGCUAUAUUUACCAGGCCAAAACCUAGGUUGCUUGUUACCAAAAACUCCCACUAGAAAGCAAUAUCUUCCAAUUAAGGAGAAACACUAACAAGGCAGUGAAACCACACUAGAUGAUGAUGAUGAUGAUGAUGAUAUUGUGAUAGUUAUAGUGCAU